This 432-nucleotide ribosomal RNA is filed under the name uncultured bacterium. Its description in RNAcentral is "partial 16S ribosomal RNA". It matches the Rfam family "Bacterial small subunit ribosomal RNA", at positions 338 to 795 of the family's 1533-position model. The record is from RNAcentral.
CCUACGGGUGGCAGCAGUAGGGAAUAUUGGACAAUGGGUGAGAGCCUGAUCCAGCCAUGCCGCGUGCAGGAAGAAGGCCUUUGGGUUGUAAACUGCUUUUGCCAGGGGAUAGGUACCUGGUGAAUAAGCCACGGCUAACUACGUGCCAGCAGCCGCGGUAAUACGUAGGUGGCAAGCGUUGUCCGGAUUUAUUGGGUUUAAAGGGUGCGUAGGCGGUCCUAUAAGUCAGUUGUGAAAUACGGCAGCUUAACUGUCGAGGUGCAAUUGAUACUGCAGGACUUGAGUACAGACGAGGUAGGCGGAAUUGACGGUGUAGCGGUGAAAUGCUUAGAUAUCGUCAAGUACACCGAUAGCGAAGGCAGCUUACUAGACUGUACUGACGCUGAGGCACGAAAGUGUGGGGAUCAAACAGGAUUAGAUACCCCAGUAGUC